GACGAACGCUGGCGGCGUGCUUAACACAUGCAAGUCGAACGGUGAACUCCGCUUGCGGGGGGAUCAGUGGCGAACGGGUGAGUAACACGUGGGCAACCUGCCCUCAGCUCUGGGAUAACUCCAAGAAAUUGGGGCUAAUACCGGAUAUGACCGCUGACCGCAUGGUCUGGUGGUGGAAAGAUUUAUCGGCUGGGGAUGGGCCCGCGGCCUAUCAGCUUGUUGGUGGGGUAGUGGCCUACCAAGGCGACGACGGGUAGCCGGCCUGAGAGGGUGACCGGCCACACUGGGACUGAGACACGGCCCAGACUCCUACGGGAGGCAGCAGUGGGGAAUAUUGCGCAAUGGGCGAAAGCCUGACGCAGCGACGCCGCGUGGGGGAUGACGGCCUUCGGGUUGUAAACCUCUUUCAGCAGGGACGAAGCGAAAGUGACGGUACCUGCAGGAGAAGCACCGGCCAACUACGUG
RNAcentral lists this ribosomal RNA (465 nucleotides) under uncultured bacterium. RNAcentral's name for it is "partial 16S ribosomal RNA". It matches the Rfam family "Bacterial small subunit ribosomal RNA", at positions 28 to 507 of the family's 1533-position model. The record is from RNAcentral.